RNAcentral lists this ribosomal RNA (300 nucleotides) under uncultured Enterococcus sp. RNAcentral describes it as "bacterial SSU rRNA". It matches the Rfam family "Bacterial small subunit ribosomal RNA", at positions 496 to 795 of the family's 1533-position model. The record is from RNAcentral. Lineage: Bacteria; Bacillati; Bacillota; Bacilli; Lactobacillales; Enterococcaceae.
GCGAACGCCGGGCAAGAGGCUGGGGUAAAUAGCGGGGGGGUAGCGUGAACCGGAAUUAUUGGGCGGAAAGCGUCCGUAGGUGGCUAGUCAAGUCUGCGGUCAAAGACUGGGGCUGAACCCUGGAAAGGCCGUGGAAACUGACGAGCUAGAGUGCAGUAGGGGUAGAGGGAAUUCCCGGUGUAGCGGUGAAAUGCGUAGAGCUCGGGAAGAACAUCGGUGGCGAAAGCGCUCUACUGGACUGCAACUGACACUCAGGGACGAAAGCUAGGGGAGCGAAUGGGAUUAGAUACCCCUGUAGUC